GUGAAAUGAUGAAAUCCGCUAAAAAUGGACAAUAUUAAGGAGUUAUUACACUGCAUUGAACCGAAAGAUGUGAAAAAAGCCCUCAUUGUGGUCGAAACUGUCGAUCAAACCAUUCGUCAAAAUGUAACAACAGCAGAAAUCGCAUUCGCCCUUCAAAAGGUCUUUCACAAAGAUGAAGGAACUGUGGCUUUUCUCACGGCGAUCGGACAAAAUAUGACUCGCAAUGGAAAAAUUUUCGACGCCCCAAUUAUUGCUUUGUUUAAACUUUGGGCCUCUUGGAUUCACGAUUUUUCUUCAGAAGUCAAGGAAUAUGGAGUGGAAAUCCUGAAAAUUACUUUGAGAUUCAUGAAAAGUGCUCAUGUCACGUCAAAAGUCAAAGAAUUGGCAGCUGGAGUCCUUUAUUCGUUAGUUGAAGCGAAAAUCCUGCCAGAAAUGGAAAUUUCAAGCAUUUUAAACGAAAUAUUGCAAAGUUACAGCGAUUCGAGGACAAUUAAAGUAUUUUAUGGAAAAGUUUUGCUCCAAACGAUGGGAUUGAUUUCCAAAUUUCAUCCUCAUAUCGCGGGAUCGAGACAUGAAUCCAUCAGAAAUGCCAUUCGGCAGACCAUUGAAGUGCGGUUAAUUGAAAAAGUUAAUGUAAUUAUUCGUUGAUUUCAGGAGCCUUUGAGGCGUUAACCGAUCACUUGAAUAACUUUCCGCCAGAUUUGAUGAUCGAUUCAGAGGUUGAUUUGGGAUUUAAGUACUAUAAUUAUGUGAAACCGUUCUCACUUUUGUCAGCUGGAGAUGGAAAAGAUGCCUCGAGAAAAGCCCUCAACCUCCUAACAGCCCAUUACCCACUUUUUCACGAUCAAAUCUUCAUGGAAGCCGAUUUUUGGCAACGAACCUUACGUGAGUGGAU
Molecule: long non-coding RNA, 895 nt
Organism: Culicoides brevitarsis
Lineage: Eukaryota; Metazoa; Arthropoda; Insecta; Diptera; Ceratopogonidae
Exons: 4
Source: RefSeq, a predicted model, not a curated record